GAAAUUAUAGUCAAAUAUGAUUCCUGUCUUGCACACAGGGGGUGCUCCUAAGAGCUAAUUUUA
RNAcentral lists this transfer RNA (63 nucleotides) under Plesionika lophotes. Its description in RNAcentral is "tRNA-Ala". Lineage: Eukaryota; Metazoa; Arthropoda; Malacostraca; Decapoda; Pandalidae. The record is from RNAcentral.